GGGAAGUUGGAGCUAGGAUGUCCCCAGGCAAGCUCCAUGUUUUGUUCGAUUGAGGUGGGAGCAGUCACAGGUGUCUCUCGGGGGGCUGUCAUCCAGGUGCGCCAGCAACUUUCCUGGCUAGGAGAACUCCCUUUGUCCCUCAAGAAAGCCCUGGCCUCUGGACUCAGGACAAGGGUCCACCUGCCUAAGACCCAGCGGAGCUUCUCAGGUUCCUGUCUCCUGUCUCCUCCCUCUUCCCCUCUCUCCUAUCUGCAGUUUCUGCUCGGGGAAAUACAAUAACCUAAUAUUUAAAUAAAAUUCUCUCAGAUGCCAAGGAGUAGGACAAGUGCCCAGGAAUUUAAACAGGAAUAAUACAAGACUCUGAUUUUCAGACACUUUCAGGCCAGUAGAAGGGAGUAAGCAGGUAUAGCCCACGCUCUGGGUCUUUGGCAGUAGGGGACUGCCAGGAACUGCUGCUAAGGCAGAGCCUCAUGGGUCCCUCGAGGGGAGAGUUAAAUUCACAGAAAGUCAGAGUUAGAAGAAGCUGUAAUAUCAUCUAGUUCACCCCCCUUGCUAUAUUCAUAGGGAAACCAAUACUUCAGCUGCUUUUGGCAAUGAUGGGGAUUAACAAGGACUGGUUGAGUCACUCCAAAGCAUACAUGCUGUUUAGAAGACAAGGUUUCCAAGUAGUGCAACCUAGUUGGGGAAAUGGAGUCCGCCAGCCUUCACAGGGUACCAUCUUAAGAACUGCCAGAGGAAUCAGCCUCAUAAGUCAUGAAAAUGCCUGCUCUACUGCUCAUAAACCCCAGUUUCCACAAUGUGAGUACCCACAGACCCAAACAAAUAUAAGAGGCUAAGAAGCUAACACCAGUACCACAGCUUCUCAGCAUGCCAGUCUGCUAUUUAAGACUGGUGCAAAGUCAAUUUCCUGCAGCAGACAAGAAAGGCCCACACAGGUCUUUGGCAUUUCUGGGCCCCCAGUUUGGAGGCCAGGAGCCCGGGAGUGGAGGAGCUGAGAUUGAGACUGACCUGCUUACUAGGUCUUACCAGGGAGCAUAAGGGCUGCUAUGACUCUAUAAAGGGUCGGUCGUGAGGCAGAAAGUCUUCACAAAGCCUCUGCUUGCUAGGAAACAAAACUUUCUACGUAGCUCCAGGCCUGAUCUCUGCAACCCACUGAAGGCAUGGCCUGACUAAAGGCUGGCAGGAUGGAGCUGUGUGAAUGAGCCCCUCCAAAGGCAGACAGAAGAACCAAUGGCAAGCUGGCUCCUCUUCUCACAUGGUGAAAUGUCCAACGGCUGGCACUGGAAGGCUCUCUCCCAGUCACAGAAAACACCGCCCACCUACCUGCCCCAGGGUCCAAUCAUCCUGCCUUCCCCUACUUUGGAACCCAGCCUCGGGUGUGGGAAUCUGCCAGGGAAAAACAGGCCUUGGCUGUAGUGUUUUUGGUGCUCUAUGGGUUCGUGUCAAAUGAUCCCUAAGGUGAGGAGCAGGUUAAAGUGAAAGAGGCCACCCCUGCCCCCAGCCUCCUGGUGGGACCUGCGGGGUUUGGGAUUGCUCUCAGCAGUAAGCAGUAGGCAACACAGCCAGGGUCAAUCACCAAAUCCGAAUCCCUUUAGUGUUCAACUGGCAGCAGAUGGUCCAGCCCGGUUCUUAGCACUGGUGCUGCAUACAGCAGGCCCCAGAUCAAGCCUGCUGUUGAUCUCUUUUGACUGCGGGGGUAACAGAGUGGGAGAAGGAGGAAGUAC
This 1724-nucleotide long non-coding RNA is filed under the name Homo sapiens (human). RNAcentral's name for it is "HSALNT0301522". The record is from RNAcentral. Lineage: Eukaryota; Metazoa; Chordata; Mammalia; Primates; Hominidae.